GACCAAGGAGUCUAACAUGUGCGCGAGUCGUAGGGUUACGCUCAAAGCCCGAAGGCGCAAUGAAAGUGAAGGUCGGCCUCGAUUGCCGUUACCUAGGCGGGAUCCGUUCGGGCUUACCGGUCGUUCGCGGCUGAGCCCGGCGGCGCACCGCCGGCCCGUCUCGACCGCAUCGCCGGUGAGGCGGAGCGAGAGCGUACACGUUGGGACCCGAAAGAUGGUGAACUAUGCCCGGGCAGGACGAAGCCAGAGGAAACUCUGGUGGAGGUCCGUAGCGAUUCUGACGUGCAAAUCGAUCGUCGGACCUGGGUA
RNAcentral lists this ribosomal RNA (309 nucleotides) under Craterostigmus tasmanianus. RNAcentral's name for it is "eukaryotic LSU rRNA". It matches the Rfam family "Eukaryotic large subunit ribosomal RNA", at positions 664 to 917 of the family's 3401-position model. The record is from RNAcentral. Lineage: Eukaryota; Metazoa; Arthropoda; Chilopoda; Craterostigmomorpha; Craterostigmidae.